Long non-coding RNA from Acanthopagrus latus (yellowfin seabream), 1233 nucleotides. RefSeq lists it as uncharacterized. The record is from RefSeq and is a predicted model, not a curated record. The transcript is spliced from 3 exons. NCBI's taxonomy places the organism in Eukaryota, Metazoa, Chordata, Actinopteri, Spariformes, Sparidae.
CCCUAAUUGCCCUGCCAUGCUCAGCUGUGUGCAAACAAACGUGAAACACGGGCAAGUCAGCACAUGUACCAGUCUCAGAGCCAGACAGUCUGCCUGUCAGUGGUAAAAAAAAAAAAAAAAAAGACCUGUCCUUUUUUAGCUCUGUAGGAGGAGAGACAUGAGGAAGAACCUGCAGAAGAAGAGGAGGAAGUGUCAGAGGAAGAGAACAUCACUGAAAUUGAUGAAGAUUUUGCUCAAACUGACGAGAAGGAAUCAAGCGAUGAAGAGGAGCCUGCUGAAGUUGAAAAUAUUUUCCAAAUAACCCAGGGAAAAUUGAGAGGAUAGUGCUAGAAAUGACCAACAAGGACGGGCGUCGGGUGCAUGGUGACAGUUGGAAGAUGGAUCAAACAGAUCUACAGGGAUACCUGGGUCUUUUCAUUUUCGCUGGUGUCUACCUGUCCAGUAAAUAGACUAUGUCCAGCCUGUGGCAUAUUCAGUCUGGGAGGGCAAUUUUUCAUGCCACCAUGCCACUGAAAAAAUUCCACACCAUCUCAAGAAUAAUUUGUUUUGAUGAUCACGACACCAGACCUGCGCGCCGUUCCAGAGACAAACUGGCUGCCCUCCAACAGGUGUGGGAUAAGUGAGUGUGUCGCCUGUAGCUCAUGUGUAAUCCCGGCACCGAUGUGACAGUGGAUGAGCGCCUGGUCCUAUUCAGAGGCUGAUGUGGAUUCAGGCAAUGUAUGCCAAGUAAACCUGGCAAGUACUGCUUAAAAAUCUGGGUGGUCUGCAAUGCCCAGACCAGCUACACCUGGAACAUGCAGAUGUACACAGACAAACCUGUGGAUGGCCAGCCAGAGAAAAACCAGGGCCAGCAUGUGGUUCUCGAGGUGACAGAGGGUCUUCAGGGACAGACCAUCACAUGCCCCAGAUCAUCCUUGAUUAUAACAAGAACAAGGGGGGAGUCGACAACCUAAACAAGGUCAUCAGUGCACACAGCUGUAAAUGAAUGACAGCCUGUUGGCCCUUGGCGGUAUUCUACAACAUGCUUGAUGUGUCUUCAUACAACUCCUUCAUGCUGUGGAGAGAGAUGGACCCAGACUGGGAUCAGGGGAAGUGCCACUGGAGGAUGACUCUUUUUCUGUUUUUGAUUUUAUUUUUUUUAUUAGGGUUGUGCACAAACACAUUUAAUUUAUCUAAAUAAGCUGAAAACAGUUUUUGGGAAGUUUUGAAAUAAAUGUUGAGCCUUGCAAAUCA